AAGGUAUUGAAAUAAGAUUUUAAAUGAGUGCUAAGAGAAUGAUUAAACAAUUAAAAACUUUCUUUAAUUAAAUAAUUAAAUUUAAUUUUUUUGGUGCGAAAGCAAAAAUAAAAUUUAGGGACAAGAAGACCCUAUGAAUUUUUAUUAUUAAUAUUUUGCAAUUAAAUUAUUAAUAAUUUAAUUGGGGUGAUAAAAAAAGAAUAAGUAUCUUUUUAAUUGUAAAAUAAGUUCCGUUUUUAGCGAUUAAAUGAAAAAAAUACUCUAGGGAUAACAGCGUAAUAA
RNAcentral lists this ribosomal RNA (282 nucleotides) under Ixodes scapularis (black-legged tick). RNAcentral's name for it is "partial 16S ribosomal RNA". Lineage: Eukaryota; Metazoa; Arthropoda; Arachnida; Ixodida; Ixodidae. The record is from RNAcentral.